Long non-coding RNA from Austrofundulus limnaeus, 1150 nucleotides. RefSeq lists it as uncharacterized. The transcript has 3 exons. Lineage: Eukaryota; Metazoa; Chordata; Actinopteri; Cyprinodontiformes; Rivulidae. The record is from RefSeq and is a predicted model, not a curated record.
UUUAAAGAAAUAGUUUAUUUUUGAUUGAACUAAAGACAAAACGGAUAGUUAAAAUGUAGCAAAGACCAAAGUAGAUUAAAUAAYGAUUGUGUGAGCUAUUUAAUUUUUGAGAGUAGAGUUUUAAUAUUGCAGCAGCUCACUUUAGUCUUGGCCCUACUUUGUAUUAACCAUUAGCAUGUAAGAAAAAACAUGAUCAGUAUUGGAAGUCGGAAUAAGUUUGCAAAAAAAAAGAGUUGAUUCUCUUCUAAAAUUCUUUAUUCAAAAACCUGAACUCCAUUCCAGCUCACAGCUUGUCAGCCAGGCGGGAGCUGUGAGGUUGAGGCCUUGAGUCUUAUYAGAAGCAAAACAAAAACAAACCCUCUCAGGAGCAGCUGUUCUAAAAAAGAAUAAUGAUGAUCACCAUAAAGUCACUUGUACAUAAACCUAACUUCCUGGUCACACCCCUGGAGGCGGUCCUUUUUACAUCAGACAUCGUAAUGUAAAACAAACUUUGUUUAUCCUGUUAAAGAGGGUCAUAAUGAUAGAAACAUACUGACUCUUUCUAUGUUUAAAGUAAAUGACUGAACAUACUGUACAAGACUGGAUCUGAAGUUUUCAGUUAAUAAUACACAAAAUUUCUUUCAAGCUCAUCAGUUUGAACUGUUUGUCCAAACCGUGGUCACCUAAAGAGCUAUCUACAUCAGCAAAUAAGAGGACGUCUGGAUGGACAGAUCCGGUACUUUUUGCUCCCGUCUCCAGUCGAUGGCAGCCAGCAGAGGUGGGCUUCCUUCAUUGAUCUCCAUGCCAAGUCUUGUCACAGGCUGGUCCUCGUGCGGUGAGAUCACUGGGCGCUGCACGGAACCGACUUUCGAUGGCUUUCGACCCGGCUGAUCGUUCUACCGUUAGACUCAUGCAUGGAAAGCCAGAAUUAGAGCUGUAAGGUGACUUCUUGUUCAAUGUUUUUAUAAAUUCACUCAGGACAAACUAAAUGAACCAAAGAGAGGUUUGAAACUUGAGGUACUUUGUCCCGCUAAGGAUAUGGUAUGGUAGUGUUUUUCUCAGAAAAAAAAAAUCACAGAGUAAACGAGUUUCAUAUUUUCUGCAUUAGAUAUGACAUGAAUUAUAGUAUAGACUCAGUAAAAUUGUUCAAUAAAGCAUUCUUAGUUUUAUA